GCCUGGCGAGAGCCGGUGCCGCGCCUGUCUGCCUUCUAAGCAGCCGGUCGAUGGUUCGAAUCCAUCAGGGGGCG
Molecule: transfer RNA, 74 nt
Filed under: Synechococcaceae bacterium WB9_2_112
Lineage: Bacteria; Bacillati; Cyanobacteriota; Cyanophyceae; Synechococcales; Synechococcaceae
Description: tRNA-Arg
Source: RNAcentral